CAGUAGCCGCGGGAAUACGUAGGGUCCGAGCGUUGUCCGGAAUUACUGGGCGUAAAGAGCUCGUAGGUGGUUUGUCGCGUUGUUCGUGAAAACUCACAACUCAAUUGUGGGCGUGCGGGCGAUACGGGCAGACUGGAGUACUGCAGGGGAGACUGGAAUUCCUGGUGUAGCGGUGGAAUGCGCAGAUAUCAGGAGGAACACCGGUGGCGAAGGCGGGUCUCUGGGCAGUAACUGACGCUGAGGAGCGAAAGCGUGGGGAGCGAACAGGAUUAGAUACCCGCGUAGUCCCUGUCUCUUAUAU
This 301-nucleotide ribosomal RNA is filed under the name uncultured bacterium. RNAcentral's name for it is "partial 16S ribosomal RNA". It matches the Rfam family "Bacterial small subunit ribosomal RNA", at positions 509 to 809 of the family's 1533-position model. The record is from RNAcentral.